RNAcentral lists this ribosomal RNA (514 nucleotides) under uncultured bacterium. RNAcentral describes it as "bacterial SSU rRNA". It matches the Rfam family "Bacterial small subunit ribosomal RNA", at positions 19 to 518 of the family's 1533-position model. The record is from RNAcentral.
CUGGCUCAGAUUGAACGCUGGCGGCGUGCUUAACACAUGCAAGUCGCGCGUGAAAGGACUUCGGUCCGAGUAAAGCGGCGCACGGGUGAGUAACGCGUGGACGAUCUACCCAUGAGUUAGGAAUAACGGCUGGAAACGGUCGCUAAUACCAAAUACGCUCCGAUUUCAACUUCGGGGGAAAGGUGGCCUCUGCUUGCAAGCUACUGCUCAUGGAUGAGUCCGCGUCCCAUUAGCUAGUUGGUGGGGUAACGGCCCACCAAGGCGACGAUGGGUAGCCGGUCUGAGAGGAUGACCGGCCACACUGGGACUGGAACACGGCCCAGACUCCUACGGGAGGCAGCAGUGGGGAAUAUUGCGCAAUGGGCGAAAGCCUGACGCAGCGACGCCGCGUGAGGGAUGAAGGUCCUCGGAUCGUAAACCUCUGUCAGGAGGGAAGAACCGCCACGGUGCUAAUCAGCCGUGGUCUGACGGUACCUCCAAAGGAAGCACCGGCUAACUCCGUGCCAGCCGCAGC